CGGGAACAGCUCAAAUUUUAAAUCGGACUUUGUUCGAGUUGUAAUUUGCAGAGGGUGCUUUGGUGGUAGUUGCGGUCUAAGUUCUUUGGAACAGGACGUCACAGAGGGUGAGAAUCCCGUAUGUGGUCGCUACUUAUCACCGUGUAAAGCCCCUUCGAC
RNAcentral lists this ribosomal RNA (159 nucleotides) under Phaeosphaeriaceae sp. RNAcentral's name for it is "partial large subunit ribosomal RNA". It matches the Rfam family "Eukaryotic large subunit ribosomal RNA", at positions 99 to 261 of the family's 3401-position model. Lineage: Eukaryota; Fungi; Ascomycota; Dothideomycetes; Pleosporales; Phaeosphaeriaceae. The record is from RNAcentral.